UACGAAGGGGGCUAGCGUUGUUCGGAAUUACUGGGCGUAAAGCGCACGUAGGCGGAUACUUAAGUUAGGGGUGAAAUCCCAGAGCUCAACUCUGGAACUGCCUUUAAUACUGGGUAUCUCGAGUCCGGAAGAGGUGAGUGGAAUUCCGAGUGUAGAGGUGAAAUUCGUAGAUAUUCGCAAGAACACCAGUGGCGAAGGCGGCUCACUGGCCCGAUACUGACGCUGAGGCACGAAAGCGUGGGGAGCAAACAGG
Molecule: ribosomal RNA, 253 nt
Filed under: uncultured bacterium
Lineage: Bacteria
Description: partial 16S ribosomal RNA
Rfam family: Bacterial small subunit ribosomal RNA
Source: RNAcentral